Molecule: unclassified non-coding RNA, 554 nt
Filed under: Hevea brasiliensis (rubber tree)
Lineage: Eukaryota; Viridiplantae; Streptophyta; Magnoliopsida; Malpighiales; Euphorbiaceae
Source: RNAcentral
GCAUCCUCGAUUUGGCUUUUUCUUUUUCUCUUUUUGUUUCUGUGGUGGUUUGAUAACUACCCUGAUCGCUGAAUCAAAAACAGCCUUCACAUUCUGCAAAAGCAUAGAGAAUACAACACAAUCACAGAACCCAUUUAGAAAAUAUUAUUUCACAGUGACAGACACAAAACAGGGACAGAACAAGAUCCUCAUUUAGUAAUGUGCCAAAAACCCCUAUGAGAGAGAGUAACCAUGCAAUUUAUAUAUGUUUAAUACUGUAUAACAAAUAGCACAGAGCAUCUGAAUAUAAUUUUCAUAAAGAAACAUCAACUUUUUGCCAAGCAUUUAUGAGGGGAGCAGGGUUCAGGUGACCAGUUCCCAAUUCAGGAUAGUGACACUACAGCUACAAUAUACAAUCACAGGAAGUAACUUUCAAAAGUUUCACCAUCUUCAGGAGAGCAAUUCAUCCAGACAAACAUUACUUUGCAGGCAUUUCAAUUAUCAUGGACACAAAUUACGUUAGAUGAAAUUCACUGUCUUGCCAUAUUUCCACACACCUGUUGAGUUUUUGAGCU